Molecule: ribosomal RNA, 480 nt
Filed under: Coelognathus flavolineatus
Lineage: Eukaryota; Metazoa; Chordata; Lepidosauria; Squamata; Colubridae
Description: partial 16S ribosomal RNA
Rfam family: Bacterial large subunit ribosomal RNA
Source: RNAcentral
AAAAACAUAACCUUUAGACAAACAAAUAUUAAAGGCAACGCCUGCCCAGUGAACAAUUAAACGGCCGCGGUAUCCUAACCGUGCAAAGGUAGCAUAAUCAUUUGUCUACUAAUUAUAGACCUGCAUGAAAGACUAAAUGAGGGUCUAACUGUCUCUUAUAAUAAAUCAAUUAAACUGAUCCCCCAGUAAAAAAGCUGGGAUUACACCAUAAGACCAGAAGACCCUGUGAAGCUUAAACCAAACUAUUAAACCCAAUAAUAGCUAGUUUCGGUUGGGGCGACCUUGGAAAAAAAAAGAACUUCCAAGACCCAGCACAGCUGAUAAAUGAACCAAGUUACUCCAGGGAUAACAGCGCAAUCUUCUUCAAGAGCCCAUAUCAAAAAGAAGGUUUACGACCUCGAUGUUGGAUCAGGACAUCCUAAUGGUGCAGCCGCUAUUAAGGGUUCGUUUGUUCAACGAUUAACAGUCCUACGUGAUCUG